AUUGAACGCUGGCGGCAUGCCUAACACAUGCAAGUCGAACGGCAGCACGGCAGUAGCAAUACUGUGGGUGGCGAGUGGCGGACGGGUGAGGAAUACGUCGGAAUCUGCCCAGUCGUGGGGGAUAACUAGCCGAAAGGUUAGCUAAUACCGCAUACGACCGAGAGGCGAAAGCGGGGGACCGCAAGGCCUCGCGCGAUUGGAUGAGCCGACGUCGGAUUAGCUAGUUGGUGGGGUAAAGGCCCACCAAGGCGACGAUCCGUAGCUGGUCUGAGAGGAUGAUCAGCCACACUGGAACUGAGACACGGUCCAGACUCCUACGGGAGGCAGCAGUGGGGAAUAUUGGACAAUGGGCGCAAGCCUGAUCCAGCAAUGCCGCGUGUGUGAAGAAGGCCUCGGUUGGUAAGUACGACUUUAUUACU
Molecule: ribosomal RNA, 419 nt
Filed under: uncultured bacterium
Lineage: Bacteria
Description: bacterial SSU rRNA
Rfam family: Bacterial small subunit ribosomal RNA
Source: RNAcentral